CUGUUUGCUACCAGCUAGCUAAUGUUUGGUCUCCUUAUCUUAGGAGAGGGUAAUGGCUGGUGCCAGCAUGGAGGCCGCCUGAUCUCAAUCUGACUCUAAAGUUAUUAACAGAGCUACCAGGAGGCAGGCCUCCGUGUGGGCCCGCAGCCAGAGCUUCAGGAAGAGGGCCUAAGGAAGAAGAACAGACUUGGCCUCCGGUUACUAGGUAACCUAAGAGGAACAUCUUUUAAUAGAGCCCCAAAUCUGCAUCAUCAGGGCCUCCUGCUCUCACUGUGUUCCAGGAAGUACUCCCUUCCAGUGUUUUUCUACAGUUGGAGGAAUCCAAGUUUCUUGUAAGGUGGAGGAAGCUCUUCAAAGAAGAAAGGAGUUGGGAAUCCUUAUUCCCCCAGCAAUGAGCAACUGUAGAAACACUCCUCUCACAGACCUGGCAAAUGGCUUCUAGUGUUUUUGGUCCAAACACUACAUCUCCCCAGCUCUGUGUCACAUCUUGGCGCUGCAUAGCCCAGUAGUACCACAUCAUCUCGUGGCACUGAGCCAAGAGCGUGCCCGGCGGCGCUUAGCACCAUACAGGAAGUCUGUGGGGCCCUGCAAGCUCCCUCUACCACACUCCUACUGGAGCAGAGGAGGAGAUUAUCAGGCGGCAAAGUCAUGGUGUUGCUAUGAUUACUCUGAUGUGUAAUAAAUCUGUG
RNAcentral lists this long non-coding RNA (689 nucleotides) under Equus caballus (horse). RNAcentral's name for it is "lncRNA (ENSECAG00000057568.1)". The record is from RNAcentral. Lineage: Eukaryota; Metazoa; Chordata; Mammalia; Perissodactyla; Equidae.